Molecule: ribosomal RNA, 457 nt
Filed under: uncultured bacterium
Lineage: Bacteria
Description: bacterial SSU rRNA
Rfam family: Bacterial small subunit ribosomal RNA
Source: RNAcentral
UACGGAAGGCAGCAGUGGGGAAUAUUGCACAAUGGGCGAAAGCCUGAUGCAGCUAUGCCGCGUGUAUGAAGAAGGCCUUAGGGUUGUAAAGUACUUUCAUCGGGGAGGAAAAAACAAAACUAAUAAUUUUAUUUCUUGACGUUACCCGAAAAAGAAGCACCGGCUAACUCCGUGCCAGCAGCCGCGGUAAUACGGAGGGUGCUAGCGUUAAUCAGAAUUACUGGGCGUAAAGAGCACGUAGGUGGUUUUUUUAAGUUCAGAUGUGAAAUCCCUGGGCUUAACCUAGGAACUGCAUUUUGAAACUGAAAUACUAGAGUAUCGUAGAGGGAGGUAGAAUUCUAGGUGUAGCGGUGAAAUGCGUAGAUAUCUGGAGGAAUACCUGUGGCGAAAGCGGCCUCCUAAACGAAUACUGACACUGAGGUGCGAAAGCGUGGGGAGCAAACAGGGAUUAGAUACC